This 481-nucleotide ribosomal RNA is filed under the name uncultured soil bacterium. RNAcentral's name for it is "bacterial SSU rRNA". It matches the Rfam family "Bacterial small subunit ribosomal RNA", at positions 26 to 522 of the family's 1533-position model. The record is from RNAcentral.
AGGACGAACGCUGGCGGCGUGCUUAACACAUGCAAGUCGAGCGGUAAGGCCUUUCGGGGUACACGAGCGGCGAACGGGUGAGUAACACGUGGGUGAUCUGCCCUGCACUUCGGGAUAAGCCUGGGAAACUGGGUCCAAUACCGGAUAUGACCUCAGGUUGCAUGACUUGGGGUGGAAAGAUUUAUCGGUGCAGGAUGGGCCCGCGGCCUAUCAGCUUGUUGGUGGGGUAAUGGCCUACCAAGGCGACGACGGGUAGCCGACCUGAGAGGGUGACCGGCCACACUGGGACUGAGACACGGCCCAGACUCCUACGGGAGGCGGCAGUGGGGAAUAUUGCACAAUGGGCGAAAGCCUGAUGCAGCGACGCCGCGUGAGGGAUGGACGGCCGUUCGGGUAGUAACCUCUUUCAGCGAGGACGAAGCGCAAGUGACGGUACCUGCAGAAGAAGCGACCGGACUAACGUACGUGCCAGCACGCCGAC